Molecule: long non-coding RNA, 1363 nt
Organism: Medicago truncatula (barrel medic)
Lineage: Eukaryota; Viridiplantae; Streptophyta; Magnoliopsida; Fabales; Fabaceae
Exons: 6
Source: RefSeq, a predicted model, not a curated record
GCUGAACGUAGAAGAGGAAAAGAAGAAGAGGCAGUUAGAGGGAGUGGGUUACCGAAAGAGAAAGAGAGAAAUGAGAAGUAAGGAGAACUAUGAGAUCAAGAGACAAGGAAGAGAAGAGAGUUGAGCUGCAACCUCCAUCUACAGUAAAGAAAAAGGAGAAGUCACCAUUGAAGAAGCUAUAGCCAUCAUGGAAGUUGCAAAAUCAAGUUAAAAUUAGGGAUUCAAGUAUCUCUCUUUUGGAUAAAAUCUAAGAACAUGCAGAGGCCAUAAGCUGCAAUUAAGCUGUUUUGAGAAAAGUGCCUAUGGGGCAUAGCAGGAGCUGAAAUGGGACGUAAGCAGCGUCGAGACUUUAAAAAAAAUGUUUAAGUUUCCCAUAGAGUUGCAGCAACACAUCAUAUCGCAUAAGAGGGUGGUUCAAGCGAUGAUGAUAGAUAGAAGGUUUCUAAUUGCGGGGAGUGGCUUGCUGAACCUUUCACAAAUCAAGGUAAUAUUUGUGUGUUUGAUUUUAUAAAAAAUCUUGGUUUGUGUUUAUGAUGGGGAGUAAUAGUAGAGGAAAAGAUGGUGAAGGAACUUCUGGAAUUAACAGGGUUGAUGAUGAUGAUGAUGAUGAUGAUGAUAGUUAUGAAUAUUUACAAGAGAUGAAUUUUGUGCCUUAUGAAACACUUCUUCACAAUAACAUGAAUACCAAUGGUUUUGUAGUUCCCUUUGUGAUGCAACAGGCAGGAACCACUUGUGCUACAGUUCUAAUCCGAGCAAUAUUUACGGAAGGAUGCAAAUCAGUAGCAGCUGAAUGAAUGCAAUGGAUCUGAGGCGAGGUAUAAAUAUGGAUGUUGAUGCUGUUGUGACAAACUUGAAAAGCAGAGCACGAAUGAUUGACACUUCCGAAGAAAUAACUCAGGGUCGACUGAAGCAAUGUCUUUAACAAUUGUCUUCCCCGUCAAAGCACCAUUUCUCAAUCUAAGAAUAUCCUUAUCUCCAAAAUUAGAGAUUAAUGGAAGGUUAAUGAGAUUUUGUAGCUGGUCUGCUCGGUUGUUUUUAUUGUGUCAUUCUUCGGCUGUCAUGCUCAUCUGCACCGGUGUUUUUGCAGUGGUUAGGAUGGUUUAUGUGUCUCGGAAGUUGGAAUUGGAUCAAGCUGCUUGAGUGUUGUCCGAUACACAACAGUUGGUGAAAUACUUCUCUGCAAUCGCGGUGUAGUAGAAUCUACAUAUAUUAGGACUUUUGUUGGUAUCUUGAGAUGUUUAGGAUCUAAUUAUUCAAGUAUAUGGUGUGAUGUUAAUUGGCUUGAAUAAUUCUAGCUAUUGUUGAAUUUAAAUAAUUAAGUGAUGGUCCUUAUUUAGUGCCGUAACAUUUUGGGAUUGGCUUA